Molecule: long non-coding RNA, 2375 nt
Organism: Oncorhynchus mykiss (rainbow trout)
Lineage: Eukaryota; Metazoa; Chordata; Actinopteri; Salmoniformes; Salmonidae
Source: RefSeq, a predicted model, not a curated record
CCUUGUGUCUUGAUGUACUGCCUUAUGUUAGUGUCGUGUUCUUGGUGUUGAUGUUUUACUAAAACGUUUCACCUGCAUCCGACUCACCGCCCCAUCAUUACACCAUUGUAACCAGUGUGUGCGUCCACUGACCUGGAGUUUCUUGAGUUUCAGCUGAACAUGUGCAGGUGUUCUAAUGCCUUUAGUGUCCACAAUGGGCCUGGCCGUACUCAGCUGGAGGUGAUGGUGGCGGCAUCUGGCGCCAACAGGUGCUUGGAGACCAUCAGCAAGGCUUGAGAAGAAAGCUGGAGGCAUAUGCUGCAGACAAAGCGGGGGACCUCCUCUCCCCCUCCCUCUCAGUGUGCUGUCCCUGUGUUGAUCAGCAGAGAGAGACUAAUGAUGGGCAGGUUAUCCCCCCACGUGUGAAGACCCAGGAUUCAAAGGUCAUAUCCUCCCCCACCCCCCCACCCCCCAAGCCACCGAACUCUGCCAUACCUCUGCCGAUAUUGAAAACCAAUCAGGGCCUUCCUUCAGGCAAUUUGUCGUGGUGGUCAGAAGGGGUGGAAGGGGGAGUAUAAGUGGGAUAGGAAUAGGAAACAGGCUGAGAGGGAAGGUGUUUGUGUGUAGGGGGGGUUUGGGUGGUGGGUGGCAGUGGGGAGUGGGAUACUGAUGAUUCUCCAUCUGUCCGACAAGGACCUUAGGGAGGCAAUCUGUUAUUUUUGAAAAGCCCUUGUCGAUGGUGAGAAGUUAUAGAGGCUCUAUCCGGCCAUUUACUGCUUGAUGUUGUUCAUUUAUAAACAUGAAAAGACCCCUUUCCCCGGGUAAACAGUUUGACCCUGCGGACGGCAGGUCACUGUUAUUAUGUGAUAGAGAUUUGAGAAGGUGAUGUGUAGUCUACCUCACUCAGCAGUUUGGUGUCAGUGCUGGAUCAUGCUACGGCAGGGCUUUUUUUUUUUUUUUACACGAAACGUUAAAAAAAAAGCUGAAACAGGGAGGGACUUCCUAGAUUUGUCAAAUUAAAAAAAUAAAAAAAUAAAAAAAAGUUUUCUGUUUUAAGACAUUUGCCAUUGCGUUCCCUAACAUGAACCAGGCAUCACAGCCUUCUCAAUCUAAGGCAGUGAUUCCCAAACCUCUCCUUGAGUACACCCAGCCAUUCCACUUAUUUCAAUGUAUUCCAGUUCUAGCACACCUCGUUAAAUUGAUCAACUAAACACAGAGCCCUUCAUUGGUUGAAAUCAGGUAUGCCAGCACUGGAACACAUCAAAUACGUGGAAUGUGGGGGUACACCAGGGGAGGUUUGGGAAACACUGAUCUACAGAACGACCUGUGAUGAUGUUUUUGACACUACUAACUAGUCACCUUUUGCAUAAUAUUAGCUGCCUGUUGUGUGGUACACUAUGCCAUUGAUACUGACACAGUUUUGAGGCAUCGGUAGAGAUUGUGAUAAACAGUUCAAAUUAGAUGACAAUGGUAUGUACGUAUCUCUGUAGCACAAGACACACACAUUCACACACUGAAAAGUAGAGUCAUCCCUGUGGUCUGUUACCUGAGAGAUCCUGGGGCGGAGGAGUCUAAUACAGGUGUGAUGUCAUUGUGCUAAACACACACACACACACACACACAUACAGUAUACACACACACACAUACAGUACACACACACACCAUCUAUUUUUGUGAAAGGUCUGGCAGUCAUCGUCUCUCGCCGAUAAAGUCUGUUAUUUCCUUAUGUGGCAAUGUGGGUAUUUAUAUGUAGAGAAGAUAUCCACCACCGAGAGAGAGAGGAACAGUGAGAGAGAGAGAGGCUACUGCCUCUACAGGUUUGAGGCCACAGACAACUCUGUUUCCUCCCCCCGCCCUCUCUCCUUUCCUCUAUCCCCCGGCCUUGCUUCAUCCUUCUCUCAUCCUCCUCUCUCUCGUAGACAUUAGCUAGGUUUCCAUGAACUUUUCCAGCAAUUUUUUUUUUGGGGGGGACAUUUAGAAAGUUCACAUAGAAAACAGAUGUGACAAUUGCCUGCUACAAUGUGUUUCCAUUGAACUAUCUUGUGUCGAUAAAACAGCUGGAUGUAAUGAAGUCACACCUAAAAAAAAAAAAAAAGAACUUUCUUUCGCAAGAAAGAACAGUGUCGGCUAAAAAUGAACUUGAAGUGUUUCCAUUACCCAUUUAGGCAAAAUGCUCAUUAAUAAAUUGGCGACAGCCUAUAUGCCAUCCCACCUUUCUGUUUCAUGUCUCAGGUAGCCCGCAUAGAGACAAUGCAAGAAUUUACUAAUAUUUGCCAUAUUCUAAUCAUUCUCAUGUGCCAAUGUAUCGCCACAGUCUGUGUCAUGGUGAUUUAUUUUUUAUUUUUUUAGGGGGUGGAUCAGCUUUAAUAUCGAGAAUAAAUUGUUGCUUCCAUCAA